RNAcentral lists this unclassified non-coding RNA (354 nucleotides) under soil metagenome. RNAcentral's name for it is "partial contains 5.8S ribosomal RNA, internal transcribed spacer 2, and large subunit ribosomal RNA". The stretch from base 1 to 120 matches the Rfam family "5.8S ribosomal RNA", at positions 35 to 154 of the family's 154-position model. The record is from RNAcentral.
GAUGAAGAACGUAGCGAAAUGCGAUAAGUAAUGUGAAUUGCAGAAUUCAGUGAAUCAUCGAAUCUUUGAACGCACAUUGCGCCCGCCAGUACUCUGGCGGGCAUGCCUGUCCGAGCGUCAUUUCAACCCUCGAACCCCUCCGGGGGGUCGGCGUUGGGGAUCGGCCCUCCGUUCGCGGGGGCCGUCUCCGAAAUGCAGUGGCGGUCUCGCCGCAGCCUCCCCUGCGCAGUAGCUUGCACACUCGCACCGGGAGCGCGGCGCGUCCACAGCCGUUAAACACCCAACCUUCUGGAAUGUUGACCUCGGAUCAGGUAGGAAUACCCGCUGAACUUAAGCAUAUCAAUAAGCGGAGGA